CUGGGAGUAGUGAAAAGUCCAAGGGCAUCUACUUUCUACUCUUAAAAAGAUGUGCAUUUUAUAUUUUAAUUAGAUCCUCUACACUCUAACAUUAACAUAUCUGUUCAAACUUGUCUAGUUGCCAAGUGGCUUGAGAGUGUUAAGAUUUAAAUCCUUUUUGGAGUAUCUCUGAGAGUAGUCUGGAAGCAAAAUGUUCUCCUCUCAGGAUGAUGUCAUUUGUGAAGCAGGGAAACAUGGAGAACUAGUGCUAUGCGUGAGUCUUGGGAGGUUGACACUGUAAUUGUCAGCGGGAGGUCGUCGAUGUAGAUCACGCUUAAGAAAGGUGAUCCAUGGUAGAAAGAUAGAUCACCUUAAAGAAAGAAAUGAGGAACAAGGGAAGGAAUGAAGGGAAGGAAUGAAAGGAAGGGAGGAAGAAAGGAAGGAAGAAAGGAAGGAAGGAAGGAAGGAAGGAAGGAAGGAAGGAAGGAAGGAAGGAAGGAUGGAUACAGAAGGUAGGCAUCUUUCUAUUUCCCCAUAUGCUAACCCAAGGAAUCCUCUGUGCUUUUCCUGGGUAAGGAAGAGGAAGAAUUGGUAUCUUUGAAAGGAGUGUGGCUUCUUCAGUGGGUCUCACUCUUACAAGAUAAGGUGAAAUAAUUAAUUAAUUUGUGUCAAAUUAACGUUGAAAGUCUUUUCUGCAUUGUAAUGUUAUCAGUCCUGUGUAUCAGUUGAGUUUGAAAUGUGUAUUUAGUUUCCUGGUGACUUAGAGCUGAGGUGCUUCUGGUUGUGACAACAGGAGCCACAACUAUUUGUUUUGCAUUUCAGAUGUGAUCCAUAAAAGUUGUGGACAAUAACUUUGAUUGAUCACACAAACUCUCGGCAUUUGGGUUAUCUCUCGUAUCAUUGUUUUGUUAUUGAUGUUUUCACUGAAAUUUCAGCUACACGUUUGUGCACAUGAAUACUUGUGUUUACCAAAGAUCUAAGGCAUUUGGUUAAUUAGCCCAAAUACCACGAGCUAUGUGUAAAGUAAUAGAGAAAAGCUUUAAGAUCUCAAUAGCAUCAACUGUGUAAAUUAAAUCAAAAUACCUUCCCUAUUAUUUAUGAACCCACAGGAGACUUUAAACUCUAGUAGAUGGAUGCUAAAUGCCUAGGCCCACUUAACUUAUUAAUGUGUGAAUUACAUUUAUGUUUUUAGUUUAUAUGCAAAGAAAUGUGAUUAUUUUAUAAUAAAUAUUUUUAUUAUAAUAAUG
RNAcentral lists this long non-coding RNA (1226 nucleotides) under Rattus norvegicus (Norway rat). RNAcentral describes it as "long non-coding RNA NONRATT021220". Lineage: Eukaryota; Metazoa; Chordata; Mammalia; Rodentia; Muridae. The record is from RNAcentral.